RNAcentral lists this ribosomal RNA (1098 nucleotides) under marine metagenome. RNAcentral describes it as "bacterial SSU rRNA". It matches the Rfam family "Archaeal small subunit ribosomal RNA", at positions 30 to 1132 of the family's 1478-position model. The record is from RNAcentral.
CUAUCGGAUUGAUACUAAGCCAUGCGAGUCUUUGCAGUAAUGCAAGGCAUACGGCUCAGUAACACGUAGUCAACUUACCCUAUGGACGAGGAUAAUCUCGGGAAACUGAGCAUAAUACUCGAUAGAUCAUAAUGCCUGGAAUGGUUUAUGGUUAAAAUGAUUCGUCGCCAUAGGAUGGGACUGCGGCCUAUCAGCUUGUUGGUGAGGUAAUGGCCCACCAAGGCGAUUACAGGUACGGGCUCUGAGAGGAGAAGCCCGGAGAUGGGUACUGAGACAAGGACCCAGGCCCUAUGGGGCGCAGCAGGCGAGAAAACUUUGCAAUGUGCGAAAGCACGACAAGGUUAAUCCGAGUGAUUUCUGCUAAAGAAAUCUUUUGCAAGUCAUAAAACCACUAGUGAAUAAGGGGUGGGCAAGUUCUGGUGUCAGCCGCCGCGGUAAAACCAGCACCUCAAGUGGUCAGGAGGAUUAUUGGGCCUAAAGCAUCCGUAGCCGGCUCUGUAAGUUUUCGGUUAAAUCCAUGUGCUCAACGCAUGGGCUGCCGAAAAUACUGCAUAGCUAGGGAGUGGGAGAGGUAGACGGUACUCGGUAGGAAGGGGUAAAAUCCUGUGAUCUAUCGAUGACCAGCUGUGGCGAAGGCGGUCUGACAGAACACGUUCGACGGUGAGGGAUGAAAGCUGGGGGAGAAAACCGGAUUAGAUACCCGGGUAGUCCCAGCUGUAAACGAUGCAGACUCGAUGAUGCAUUGGCAUAUAGCCAGUGCAGUGUCGCAGGGAAGCCGUUAAGUCUGCCGCCUGGGAAGUACGUACGCAAGUAUGAAACUUAAAGGAAUUGGCGGGGGAGCACCACAAGGGGUGAAGCCUGCGGUUCAAUUGGAGUCAACGCCAGAAAUCUUACCCGGAGAGACAGCAGAAUGAAGGUCAAGCUGAAGACUUUACCAGACAAGCUGAGAGGUGGUGCAUGGCCGUCGCCAGCUCGUGCCGUGAGAUGUCCUGUUAAGUCAGGUAACGAGCGAGAUCCUCGCCACUAGUUGCUAUCAUUAUUCUCAGGAAUAAUGGGGCGAAUUAGUGGGACUGCCGUUGUUAAAACGGAGGAAGGAGG